GUGCUUGCACCUCUUGAGAGCGGCGGACGGGUGAGUAAUGCCUAGGAAUCUGCCUGGUAGUGGGGGAUAACGCUCGGAAACGGACGCUAAUACCGCAUACGUCCUACGGGAGAAAGCAGGGGACCUUCGGGCCUUGCGCUAUCAGAUGAGCCUAGGUCGGAUUAGCUAGUUGGUGAGGUAAUGGCUCACCAAGGCGACGAUCCGUAACUGGUCUGAGAGGAUGAUCAGUCACACUGGAACUGAGACACGGUCCAGACUCCUACGGGAGGCAGCAGUGGGGAAUAUUGGACAAUGGGCGAAAGCCUGAUCCAGCCAUGCCGCGUGUGUGAAGAAGGUCUUCGGAUUGUAAAGCACUUUAAGUUGGGAGGAAGGGCAGUUACCUAAUACGUAAUUGUUUUGACGUUACCGACAGAAUAAGCACCGGCUAACUCUGUGCCAGCAGCCGCGGUAAUACAGAGGGUGCAAGCGUUAAUCGGAAUUACUGGGCGUAAAGCGCGCGUAGGUGGUUCGUUAAGUUGGAUGUGAAAGCCCCGGGCUCAACCUGGGAACUGCAUUCAAAACUGUCGAGCUAGAGUAUGGUAGAGGGUGGUGGAAUUUCCUGUGUAGCGGUGAAAUGGUAGAUAUAGGAAGGAACACCAGUGGCGAAGGCGACCACCUGGACUGAUACUGACACUGAGGUGCGAAAGCGUGGGAGCAAACAGGAUUAGAUACCCUGGUAGUCCACGCCGUAAACGAUGUCAACUAGCCGUUGGGAGCCUUGAGCUCUUAGUGGCGCAGCUAACGCAUUAAGUUGACCGCCUGGGGAGUACGGCCGCAAGGUUAAAACUCAAAUGAAUUGACGGGGGCCCGCACAAGCGGUGGAGCAUGUGGUUU
Molecule: ribosomal RNA, 873 nt
Filed under: Pseudomonas fluorescens
Lineage: Bacteria; Pseudomonadati; Pseudomonadota; Gammaproteobacteria; Pseudomonadales; Pseudomonadaceae
Also listed under: 1 other name
Description: bacterial SSU rRNA
Rfam family: Bacterial small subunit ribosomal RNA
Source: RNAcentral